AAUCUGGGGCCCCAGGCCUCCGAGUUGUAAUUUGGAGAGGCAUCUUCGGGGAGGGGGCGCGGGCCCAUGUUCCUUGGAACAGGACGUCGCAGAGGGUGAGAAUCCCGUGCCAGGCCGGCUGCCUCCGCCCCAGUGAAGGGCCUUCGACGAGUCGAGUUGUUUGGGAAUGCAGCUCCAAGUGGGUGGUAAAUUUCAUCUAAAGCUAAAUACCGGCGGGAGACCGAUAGCGCACAAGUAGAGUGAUCGAAAGAUGAAAAGCACUUUGAAAAUAGAGUCAAAAAGUACGUGAAAUUGUUGAAAGGGAAGCGCUUGAGACCAGACUCGGACCCGGGCAAACAUCGCGCCCCCCGGGGCCGUGCAAUUGCCUGGGGCCGGGCCAGCAUCGGUUGGCGUGGCGGGACAAAGGCGCGGGGAAUGUGGCUCCCCUCGGGGAGUGUUAUUAGGCCCGCGCCCAAUGCCGCCUACGCCGACUGAGGACCGCGCCGCCCGGCUAGGAUGCUGGCUUAAUGGCCUUCAGCGACCCGUCUUGAAACACGGACCAAGGAGUCUAACAUCUAUGCGAGUGUUUGGGCUUGAAACCCUUGCGCGGAAUGAAAGUGAGCGGAGGUGGGAACCCCCCCGCGGGGCGCACCAUCGACCGAUCCUGAUGUCUUCGGAUGGAUUUGAGUA
This 669-nucleotide ribosomal RNA is filed under the name Helvella acetabulum. RNAcentral describes it as "eukaryotic LSU rRNA". It matches the Rfam family "Eukaryotic large subunit ribosomal RNA", at positions 119 to 796 of the family's 3401-position model. The record is from RNAcentral. Lineage: Eukaryota; Fungi; Ascomycota; Pezizomycetes; Pezizales; Helvellaceae.